GUACUGGUGAAGAGUCCCAAACUAGGACGAAACAGUUGUCCAGCAC
Molecule: non-coding RNA, 46 nt
Filed under: Trichobilharzia regenti
Lineage: Eukaryota; Metazoa; Platyhelminthes; Trematoda; Strigeidida; Schistosomatidae
Source: RNAcentral